GAUGAACGCUGGCGGCGUGCCUAAUGCAUGCAAGUCGAGCGAACAGACGAGGAGCUUGCUCCUCUGACGUUAGCGGCGGACGGGUGAGUAACACGUGGAUAACCUACCUAUAAGACUGGGAUAACUUCGGGAAACCGGGGCUAAUACCGGAUAAUAUAUUGAACCGCAUGGUUCAAUAGUGAAAGACGGUUUUGCUGUCACUUAUAGAUGGAUCCGCGCCGCAUUAGCUAGUUGGUAAGGUAACGGCUUACCAAGGCAACGAUGCGUAGCCGACCUGAGAGGGUGAUCGGCCACACUGGAACUGAGACACGGUCCAGACUCCUACGGGAGGCAGCAGUAGGGAAUCUUCCGCAAUGGGCGAAAGCCUGACGGAGCAACGCCGCGUGAGUGAUGAAGGUCUUCGGAUCGUAAAACUCUGUUAUUAGGGAAGAACAAAUGUGUAAGUAACUAUGCACGUCUUGACGGUACCUAAUCAGAAAGCCACGGCUAACUACGUG
This 497-nucleotide ribosomal RNA is filed under the name uncultured bacterium. RNAcentral's name for it is "partial 16S ribosomal RNA". It matches the Rfam family "Bacterial small subunit ribosomal RNA", at positions 28 to 507 of the family's 1533-position model. The record is from RNAcentral.